UGGGAUUUGAACCCUGGUGUCGUGGCUCU
RNAcentral lists this non-coding RNA (29 nucleotides) under Homo sapiens (human). The record is from RNAcentral. Lineage: Eukaryota; Metazoa; Chordata; Mammalia; Primates; Hominidae.